UACGUAGGGGGCAAGCGUUGUCCGGAAUUAUUGGGCGUAAAGCGCGCGCAGGCGGCGACUUAAGUUUGGUGUUUAAGCCCGAGGCUCAACCUCGGUUCGCAUCGAAAACUGGGUCGCUUGAGUGUAGGAGAGGAAAGUGGAAUUCCACGUGUAGCGGUGAAAUGCGUAGAGAUGUGGAGGAACACCAGUGGCGAAGGCGACUUUCUGGCCUAUAACUGACGCUGAGGCGCGAAAGCGUGGGGAGCAAACAGG
This 252-nucleotide unclassified non-coding RNA is filed under the name uncultured Paenibacillaceae bacterium. RNAcentral describes it as "contains 16S-23S intergenic spacer region". It matches the Rfam family "Bacterial small subunit ribosomal RNA", at positions 524 to 776 of the family's 1533-position model. Lineage: Bacteria; Bacillati; Bacillota; Bacilli; Caryophanales; Paenibacillaceae. The record is from RNAcentral.